Molecule: long non-coding RNA, 220 nt
Filed under: Setaria viridis
Lineage: Eukaryota; Viridiplantae; Streptophyta; Magnoliopsida; Poales; Poaceae
Description: long non-coding RNA (SVIR_LNC009860)
Source: RNAcentral
AAGAGCACGCAAGUGCAACGUGCGGGGAAAAAAAAAGGAACCCUAAGGCAGAUUGGGAAGAAAUCUAACCCUAGUUCGGCUCUAAUACCAUGUUAGGAAUAGCACUUGUAUUCAUAACAGGGGCUCUAGGCCCAUAUAUAUACAGGUACAAGAAGGGGAAAAUAUACAGAAAACCCCCUAAUACAAAAGGUAAAUCACCAACAGUACAUAUACAUCUAAC